RNAcentral lists this ribosomal RNA (430 nucleotides) under Pseudomonadota bacterium. RNAcentral's name for it is "Proteobacteria bacterium partial 16S ribosomal RNA". It matches the Rfam family "Bacterial small subunit ribosomal RNA", at positions 355 to 776 of the family's 1533-position model. Lineage: Bacteria; Pseudomonadati; Pseudomonadota. The record is from RNAcentral.
UGGGGAAUAUUGGACAAUGGGGGGAACCCUGAUCCAGCCAUGCCGCGUGUGUGAAGAAGGCCUUAUGGUUGUAAAGCACUUUAAGCGAGGAGGAGGGUACUGGUAUUAAUACUACCAGCUACUGGACGUUACUCGCAGAAUAAGCACCGGCUAACUCUGUGCCAGCAGCCGCGGCAAUACAGAGGGUGCGAGCGUUAAUCGGAUUUACUGGGCGUAAAGCGUGCGUAGGUGGUUCGUUAAGUUGAAUGUGAAAGCCCCGGGCUCAACCUGGGAACUGCAUCCAAAACUGGCGAGCUGGAGUAAGGCAGAGGGUGGUGGAAUUUCCUGUGUAGCGGUGAAAUGCGUAGAUAUAGGAAGGAACACCAGUGGCGAAGGCGACCACCUGGGCUCAUACUGACACUGAGGUGCGAAAGCGUGGGGAGCAAACAGG